GGACUGUAUUCACACAUGUGUGCAGUUGAUCUGGAGAGGAGGAGGAGGAGGAGGAGUUCUGGAAGGCUGAGGUUCUUCCAGACUGGGAAAGAGAAGGGUGAGGCUGCUCUCUGGAACAAAGACAGUCUCAGGAGGGGCAGGGGAAGGGCCCCACACUACAGAGUUUUGCUGAGAGCAGUGAAACUCGCUUCAUGAAGAGACCUUCACUUCCAUCAUAUGCAAAUUACAUGAAUUCACCAUUGAGCAGAAGUGUGCCAAUUUACAGCACCUCCACACUACAAGAUGGCAGGCCAGGCUGGGCCCUGCAUGGGACAGGCCAGAUAAAGCACCCACUCACCUCACUGAGACUGAGAUAAAGGUUUGCAGGGUGGUGCUGGAAUCUAGCCCCACCUGUAUCCUGAAUAGGGCCCCCAAAACACUCUUCUAGUUAAACCAUAUCCUUGGUCUCACCAGCUGAGCUUUGCCAUUAGGUGGAGCAAUUUCUGAACUUAAUUUAAUUAAUUUAUGAACUGGGCCCAGAGACCUAUCCUGGCCCUUAGAUUAGCCUCCUCCUAGCCAAGCCUUACGCCUGUAGUGGUUCAGGGCUACAGAGCCUGACCACUGAUUUCAUUUACAGAUCUCCACUUCCCGGUUUCUAGUUCCCUUUCAGGUCUGGUUCUGGGAAAUGCUGGAUAUCAUUGUCCAUGUGUUUGUUUUGUUUUAAAUUCAAAAUAAAUACAAGUUGGAAGAAGAGAGGUUUGCCAGGCCUGGCAGGAUAGGGGAAUUGGUAUUGAUUGGUGGUACUUGGUCCUUUGAAGCAAACCCCAGAGUUCUAAAGCUCCCUGCCCUGGCAGGAAUCUACCCUUUGUCUUCACCAGGGACUUCUUCCUUCUUUCCACUGGCUUUCCUUCUAUGGCAGCCUGGGCCUCUGACACUGAAGCCUGGCCUCCUUGGGCUUCUCACCUCUGGGUCUGCCAGGACACAGAGAUGCAUCUCUCCUCUGACCUCAGGCUAUAAUUGUCCUUAUAAGGAACUGAUCCAAUAGGGGAGGAUCUGUUCCUGUUGGGAUGCAGGCUUCUGCUGGCUGAGGGGCAAG
RNAcentral lists this long non-coding RNA (1075 nucleotides) under Marmota monax (woodchuck). The record is from RNAcentral. Lineage: Eukaryota; Metazoa; Chordata; Mammalia; Rodentia; Sciuridae.